RNAcentral lists this long non-coding RNA (259 nucleotides) under Lathyrus oleraceus (garden pea). Its description in RNAcentral is "Pisum sativum (pea) long non-coding RNA (PSAT_LNC015974)". Lineage: Eukaryota; Viridiplantae; Streptophyta; Magnoliopsida; Fabales; Fabaceae. The record is from RNAcentral.
UUGGUUUGGAUGGUAUGUAUGCAAUUGCAUGACUUAAGUUUUGGUACUCUGUGGGCUGCAUUGAGCUUUACAACAAUGCAAGGAGCUUUGCACCUACAUUGUGUUAUUUCAUGGAUUGUUGGAUCUCACCUACCUUGUUUGCAUUGUAUAUACAUCAUGUUUGUGCUUGUGUAUACACCAUGUCAUUAAACUGCUGCAUCUUGUGUGACAUGGUUUAUAUGGCCUUAUUUGGUCUUCAUUGAUCUUCAUUGCUUUCAAG